Molecule: long non-coding RNA, 1096 nt
Organism: Equus caballus (horse)
Lineage: Eukaryota; Metazoa; Chordata; Mammalia; Perissodactyla; Equidae
Source: RefSeq, a predicted model, not a curated record
AUGGCGCGCCCGACGAAGCCCCCGAGCCGGCCCCCAGCCGCCCACCGGGUUCCUGGUCAGGGCACACAACCGCCGCCCCUACGCCUCCACUCGCCAGCGCCGUAUCCCAGGAAACCGGGCUCUUCGCGCUCGCGGCACGCCGUGGGCCAAUCAGAGAACCAGAGCUGAGCACCUGGGAGGGCUACAGCCAAUUAGAAUGUCCAGGGGCACUGUGGAGGGUGGGGCAAAGGCGGUGCACCUAAAGACUGCGUCCCCACAGAAACUGUUGCGGAAGGAGAGCAGGUUCCCGGGCGACGUGGACUGGCAUGGGUUGAAAAGGAGUCGACGCUUGGGGGCCAGGGCUGAAGGGUCCCGGGGGCUGUCCGUUUGUUCAUUUAAUUUGAAAGCAAUUAAAAUUGAAUUUUAAAAUGAUUGUAUUUAGAAGCAACGAAACUAAAUUUACACCUUUAAAGUUUUUAGCCCAUUAUGUUAAGUUUUAACCUCGAGGUUUGGGAGUUUCAGUAAGUUCUUUAAAUAAUAAACAUUUUUUUCUCAGGAUUUCACAAAUGCCGUUUGCAGAUAACCAGAUCAGGUUGCAAGUGGCCACGUAUCCCAACGUGGAAAAGAAGAUAGUAUCACCUCCCUGUGGUGAUAGAAGACCUGAGAAGCCAAGUGGGACAGAGAUUAGCAACAAGAAGAUGCUACCACUCCCAGGACAGAAGGGACAAAGAAAAGAGGUGGUGACCAGAGCCCAGAAGCUGAAGUCACUGGGUGGGAAGUGGAGCUGCAGGAAUGACACAGCCACUGCAGGAGGAUGUUGCCUGAGAGAGAGGGCAAGAAGUACCGUGGCUUCUCUGUUUCUCUCACCCUCCAACCUCCCUCCAGAGGCUCCUAUUAGUUCAACCCCGCCAAUUGACUCAGGCGCUUGGAAAGGAAGGCUGCAAGCAUCACCACUAUCUAAUUCCAGAACAUUUUCAUCACCCCAAAAAGAAACCCCACACCCAUUAGCAGUCACUCCCUAUUCCCGAUCCCACCACCCUGUGGUAACUACUAAUCUAUUUUCUGUCUCUGUAGGUUUACAUCUUCUGGAUAGUUCGUAUAAAUGAUUCAUACAAUG